AUGUCGUCCGGCGACGAUGAGCGCGCCUCCAGGCUCCACCACCGGGAACAGGACCGCGACCACUCCUCCUCGCGCCGCCGCCACGACAAGGACCGCGACCACUCCUCCUCCCGCCACCACAGGGACGGCGAGCGGGAGCGGGAGCGCGAUCGCGAUCGCGACCGCCAUCACAGAGACAAGGAGCGGGAUCGGGAGGAGCGCAAGGCGCUGGAGCGAGCGGAGAAGGAGCGCGAGAAGGAGAGGGAGAGGGAGAGGCAGCGUCGCGAGGAGCGCCACAGGGAGAAGAAAUCGAGGAGGCGGGAUGAGUUCGAUGAUGAGGAGAACGAAGACCGUGAACGCGAUCGCAAGAGCCGCCGCCGGUCCUCGCACCACCACCACCGCGAUCCGGAGCCGGAGGCAGCGCUGCCUACCAGGGACGGGGAGGAGGCGGAGAGGCAGCGGAAGAAGAAGAAGGAGGAAGACGUGGAGGCUGAGCAGCGGCGGCAGAAGAAGAAGAUGGAGGAAGACGAGGCCGAGCAGCGGCGGCAGAAAAAGAAGAUGGAGGAAGACGAGGCCGAGCAGAUGCGGCAGAAGAAGAAGAUGGAGGAAGACAUUGAGGCCGAGCAGCAGCGGCUCGAGGACGAGAUGGAGCGGCGCCGGCGCCGCGUUAGGGAGUGGCAGGAGAAGAAGCGCCGCGAGCAGCAAGAGGACGGUGCCGGUAGUGCUGUGGCUGAUGGCGCCGGCAAGUCCGGUAUGAAGUGGAGCUUGGACGGCGAGGAGUCGGAUGACGAUGGCGGCGCCGGGACAGGUGCCAUGGACGUCGACUUGCCGAACGGAGGAACUAGCAGUGCUGGCAUGGAGGAGGACGAGAUUGACCCCCUCGAUGCGUUCAUGAACUCGAUACAGAUGCCGCCGGCGACAACAUCGAUGGAGAGCGUGAUUGCUUACGGGGACUAUCAUGAAGGCGGCAUGGUCUCCAACGAUGCAGCACCAACGGGGAGAAUCAUGCAAGGGGAUGAAUCUGACUCAGAUUACAACGACGACCCUGAGGGUGAAUCAGAUGGCGCGGAGGAGCUGAUAAACCCUGUUAUCAAGAAGACCAAGGCGGAGAAGCUGGUCACCGCCGACCACUCCAAGAUCGACUACCAGCCAUUCCGGAAGAACUUCUACACGGAGGCCAAGGACAUCAAGGAGAUGCCGGCCGAGGACGCCGCCGCCUACCGCGAGCAGCUGGACCUCAAGGUGCGCGGCAAAGGCAUCCCCAAGCCGAUAAAGACGUGGAUCCAGAGCGGCCUGACCAGCAAGCUGCUCGGCACCAUUAAAAAGCUUGGAUUCGACAAGCCGAUGGCGAUCCAGGCGCAGGCACUGCCGGUGAUAAUGAGCGGACGCGACUGCAUCGGCGUCGCCAAGACCGGGUCCGGCAAGACCCUGGCGUUCGUCCUGCCCAUGCUGCGCCACGUCAAGGACCAGCCGCCCGCCGCGCCCGGGGACGGCCCCAUCGGGCUCGUCAUGGCGCCCACCAGAGAGCUUGUGGUGCAGAUAUACUCAGACAUCAAGAAGUUCUCCAAGGCGUUCGGCGUCAACUGCGUCGCCGUGUACGGGGGCUGCGCCGUCGCCCAGCAGAUCAGCGAGCUCAAGCGCGGCGCCGAGAUCGUCGUGUGCACGCCGGGCAGGAUGAUAGACAUCCUCUGCACCAGCGCUGGCAAGAUCACCAACCUCCGGCGAGUGACCUACCUGGUGCUAGACGAGGCCGACAGGAUGUUCGACAUGGGCUUCGAGCCCCAGAUCACCCGGAUCGUCCAGAACACCCGGCCGGACCGGCAGACGGUGCUCUUCUCCGCCACCUUCCCGCGGCAGGUGGAGACGCUGGCGCGCAGGGUGCUGGCCAAGCCCGUGGAGAUCCAGAUGGGCGGGCGGAGCGUGGUGAACAGGGACAUCACGCAGCUGGUCGAGGUGCGGCCGGACGGCGAGAGGUUCCUCAGGCUGCUGGAGCUGCUCGGGGAGUGGUCUGCCAAGGGCAAGAUCCUCGUGUUCGUGCGCGCGCAGGACAAGUGCGAUUCCCUGCUCAAGGAGCUGUUCCAGCACGGGUACCCCUGCCUCUCUCUCCACGGCGGAAAGGAUCAGAACGACCGUGAGUCGACCCUCGCCGACUUCAAGAGCAACGUCUGCAGCCUGCUGAUCGCCACCAGUAUCGCCGCGAGAGGCUUGGAUGUCAAAGAUCUCGAGCUUGUUGUCAAUUACGAUGUCACCAAUCACUACGAGGACUAUGUUCAUCGUGUUGGGCGGACCGGCCGGGCCGGCAGGAAGGGCUGCGCCGUGACGUUCAUCUCCGACGAGGAGGAGCGCUACGCGCCGGACCUCGUCAAGGCUCUGGAGCUGUCCGGACAGGCCGUGCCGGAGGACCUGAAAGCCCUGGCGGACCGGUUCAUGGCCAAGGUGAAGCAGGGGACGGAGAAGGCACAUGGAACAGGCUACGGUGGAAGUGGUUACAAGUUCGAUCACGAGGAGGACGAAGCACGACAGUCGGCAAGGAGGGCCCAGGGGAGGGCGCAUGGGUACGAGGAGGACGAGCCGGAGCCGGAUUUAGACCACUACGAGGAGGAGGAAGACGGAGGCGCCGCCGCUCUGGCCGCACCACCCACCAUGGCUGCUCCUGCUAGCAAUGCCGGCCAGCCAGCAUUGCUCCCUCCACCGGCUGCGGCGACACAGCAGAACAUCGCCGCUGCUGCAGUGAACGUGCAGAGCGUUCUGGCCAGGAUACAGGCGCAGGCAGCUCCGGAGCACUACCAAGCCGAGCUCGAGAUCAACGACUUCCCACAGCACGCGCGCUGGAAGGUCACCCGGAGGGAGACGCUGGCGCCCAUCGAGGAGUGGACCGGCGCGGCGGUCACCACCAGGGGCACCUUCAUCCCCCCCGGCCAGAUCGUCGGCACCAACGAGCGCAAGCUCUACCUGUACAUCGAGGGCCCCAACGAGUCCUCCGUCAGCAAGGCCAAGGCACAGCUGAAGAGUGUCGUUGAGGAUUGCGCCAACCAGGCGCUCAAUCUGCCCGCCGGAAAAUACUCCGUCAUCUGA
This 3054-nucleotide ribosomal RNA is filed under the name Triticum aestivum (bread wheat). RNAcentral describes it as "partial small subunit ribosomal RNA". The record is from RNAcentral. Lineage: Eukaryota; Viridiplantae; Streptophyta; Magnoliopsida; Poales; Poaceae.